CGGAGGGUGCAAGCGUUAUCCGGAUUCACUGGGUUUAAAGGGUGUGUAGGCGGGUAUUUAAGUCAGUGGUGAAAUCUCCGAGCUCAACUCGGAAACUGCCAUUGAUACUAUUUAUCUUGAAUAUUGUUGAGGUAGGCGGAAUAUGUCAUGUAGCGGUGAAAUGCUUAGAUAUGACAUAGAACACCGAUUGCGAAGGCAGCUUGCUAAACAAUUAUUGACGCUGAGGCACGAAAGCGUGGGAUCAAACAGGAUU
Molecule: ribosomal RNA, 253 nt
Filed under: uncultured bacterium
Lineage: Bacteria
Description: partial 16S ribosomal RNA
Rfam family: Bacterial small subunit ribosomal RNA
Source: RNAcentral